RNAcentral lists this unclassified non-coding RNA (1461 nucleotides) under uncultured fungus. RNAcentral describes it as "sequence contains 18S rRNA gene, ITS1, 5.8S rRNA gene, ITS2, 28S rRNA gene". The stretch from base 490 to 1461 matches the Rfam family "Eukaryotic large subunit ribosomal RNA", at positions 1 to 961 of the family's 3401-position model. The record is from RNAcentral. Lineage: Eukaryota; Fungi.
GGAAGGAUCAUUAACACUAAUCCACAUCACCUUAACCUAGCCUAUUAUGCAGCAAACGGUACUAGCUAGCGAAAGCAGGCCUGUGCCUUUGUCGCAUCAAACAAAUCUAACUAUUCAAAGGAGCCUAAUUAAGCUCAAUCACAAAAACCAAAUUCUCAACGAUGGAUAUCUUGGUUCCCAUAACGAUGAAGAACGCAGCGAAGUGCGAUAAGCAAUGCGAAUUGCAGAACCGUGAGUCAUCAGAUUUUUGAACGCAAUUGGCGCCAGUUGGCUCCCCAACCGGCAUGCUUGCUUCAGUGUCUUGUUUUCUCCUCACCAAAACCUUAAUGUGAGAGAUACCCUUCUCUUACUAAGUACGAAAGCACUCUGAGCUCUGCGAGCGGCUUAUGGUCGCACUCAAUGCAGCAGUCACAUUGUUCACAAUGUGAACUCAUUGAGAGUAGAGUCAGCGCAACUUGUUGCUAGUGCUUAGGCCCUCAAACUCUUCUUGCAUCUGAAGUCAAGCAGGAUAACCCGCUGAACUUAAGCAUAUCACUAAGCGGAGGAAAAGAAAUUAACUAAGAUUGCCUCAGUAACGGCGAGUGAAGCGGCAAAAGCCCAAACUGGAAAUCUUCGGCCUUCGGUCGACGAAUUGUAAUCUAGAGGACGGUAGCUCACCUGGCUGCGGCGCAGAAGUGCCCUAGAAUGGGCCGCCAGAGAGGGUGACAGCCCCGUAUGUGGUGCCGCGGCUUAACGAGCUCCUUCCUAAGAGUCGGGUUGUUUUGAAUUGCAGCCCUAAUCCGGGAGAUAGACUUCUUCUAAGGCUAAAUAUUUAUGGGAAACCGAUAGCGAACAAGUACUGUGAAGGAAAGAUGAAAAGAACUUUGAAAAGAGAGUCAAAAGACUUGAAAUCGUUGAGACGGAAGCGGUAGCAAUUUAUUCUUCGGGCUGAAUGAUGGUGUUCGACAUCCGUAUUGGCGAGUAGGAGUACAGCAAUGGCUCUCAUUUCCACCUGCGGACUCGAUAGCUGGAUUCUCACCCGUGAGGCAAGAUGAGGCUCCACAUCCACAAAGGCUGAGUUGACCUGGGCUGGUUCGCUGGUCAGUCUGCUUGUGCCGGUGGGCGUGGUGCCUGAGGAAGCCUUGUGCGAUCUUGCCAAAAUGGUUGUUACCGACCCGUCUUGAAACACGGACCAAGGAGUCUAACAUAUAUGCGAGUGUGCUGGCGGAAAAACCAACACGCGUAAUGAAAGUAAUUGAUGCCAAGCGCAAGCAGCAGCAUCAACCGACCAUGAUCCUCCGGUGAAAGGUUUGAGUAUGAGCAUAUCUGUUAGGACCCGAAAGAUGGUGAACUAUGCCUGGGUAGGGUGAAGCCAGGGGAAACUCUGGUGGAGGCUCGUAGCGGUUCUGACGUGCAAAUCGAUCGUCAAACUUGGGUAUAGGGGCGAAAGACUAAUCGAACCAUCUAGUAGCUGGUUCCCUC